This 254-nucleotide ribosomal RNA is filed under the name uncultured bacterium. RNAcentral describes it as "partial 16S ribosomal RNA". It matches the Rfam family "Bacterial small subunit ribosomal RNA", at positions 524 to 776 of the family's 1533-position model. The record is from RNAcentral.
UACGUAGGUGGCAAGCGUUGUCCGGAUUUACUGGGCGUAAAGGGCGCGUAGGCGGUCAGCACAAGUCAGUUGUGAAAUCUCCGGGCUUAACCCGGAAAGGUCAACUGAUACUGUGCGACUAGAGUGCGGAAGGGGCAACUGGAAUUCUCGGUGUAGCGGUGAAAUGCGUAGAUAUCGAGAGGAACACCAAUGGCGAAGGCAGCUCGCUGGGACGUGACUGACGCUGAGACGCGAAAGCGUGGGGAGCAAACAGG